GCGGCCGUGACCCUGCUGGAGUGCGGGGGGGACCUCCAGCCCCCCGGGGGGUCCCUGACUCUGCUCUGCCGUGGGAAUGGAUUCAGUUUUGGCAAUUUUGCCAUGUUCUGGAUGCGUCAGAGCCCUGAGAAGGCACUGGAAUACGUCGCGGGGAUCAGCAGUAGUGGCGGCACUGACUACGCACCAUCAGUCAAGGGCCGGGUGACGAUCUCCAGGGACAACGGGCAGAGCUCGGUGACGCUGACCAUGAACAACAUCAAGGACGAGGAUUCUGCCGUUUAUUUCUGUGCCAAAAGUGCUGUUGCUGGAGCGCAGGGAGCAGGGCCCGACCCCAGCACAGCGUUUGUCCAGGCUCAGAUAAAACCGGCAAUCCUUCAGUCCUGCACGGGGGGAGAGCACAAAGAGCAGGGAGGAGACCCCGAGGGCAGGGGAGCAGGAGUCAGGGUCCAGAGGGAAGAGAAGGAGGAGACGCCGCGAGUUUGGGCUGAGCCCAGAGCCUGCAAUUAG
Non-coding RNA from Catharus ustulatus (Swainson's thrush), 507 nucleotides. The record is from the annotation of a RefSeq genome assembly. NCBI's taxonomy places the organism in Eukaryota, Metazoa, Chordata, Aves, Passeriformes, Turdidae.